GUGCUCACUUCGGCAGCACAUAUAUUAAAACUGGAAAGAUACAGAGAAGAUUAGCACAAGGAUGACAUGCAAAUUUGUGAAGAGUUCCAUAUUUUU
Molecule: small nuclear RNA, 96 nt
Filed under: Saimiri boliviensis boliviensis (Bolivian squirrel monkey)
Lineage: Eukaryota; Metazoa; Chordata; Mammalia; Primates; Cebidae
Source: RNAcentral